GGUGGAGGCUUGAAAAUAUAGGAAUAUAUGUGUCCUCUCCCUUAAGGUUGUGUUUUGCAGAAUAUGUGGUGAAUGGGGGUUUGCAGUCAUGGAGUCAUCUGAUUUAUUAGAGUGGACUUUAUAGACUAUUUUAAGUUUGUUGAAUGAAAAUGGCAUUUUCAAUUACACCAGGACCACUUCAGCAUUGCAGAUGUAGGACUAGAGAUGCUACUAUUUUUGUGCCAUAACUAUGCCAUGUAACUAAGAUACAUCUUUGUUUGUCCUUUUAGUGGAAAAUAUAUAACUG
RNAcentral lists this long non-coding RNA (286 nucleotides) under Hordeum vulgare. RNAcentral's name for it is "long non-coding RNA (HVUL_LNC009874)". Lineage: Eukaryota; Viridiplantae; Streptophyta; Magnoliopsida; Poales; Poaceae. The record is from RNAcentral.